Molecule: ribosomal RNA, 222 nt
Filed under: uncultured bacterium
Lineage: Bacteria
Description: partial 16S ribosomal RNA
Rfam family: Bacterial small subunit ribosomal RNA
Source: RNAcentral
AGUAACGCGUAGGAAUCUACCUGGUAGUGGGGGACAACAUGGUGAAAACCAUGCUAAUACCGCAUACGCCCCAUGGGGGAAAGCGGGGGAUCUUCGGACCUCGCGCUAUCAGAUGAGCCUGCGUAGGAUUAGCUAGUUGGUGAGGUAAAGGCUCACCAAGGCGACGAUCCUUAGCUGGUCUGAGAGGAUGAUCAGCCACACUGGAACUGAGACACGGUCCAG